RNAcentral lists this ribosomal RNA (900 nucleotides) under uncultured bacterium. Its description in RNAcentral is "bacterial SSU rRNA". It matches the Rfam family "Bacterial small subunit ribosomal RNA", at positions 61 to 1006 of the family's 1533-position model. The record is from RNAcentral.
GUCGAACGAAGUAGCAAUACUUAGUGGCAGACGGGUGAGUAACAUGUGGGUAUCUUCCCUUUGGUGAGGAAUAACACGAGGAAACUUGUGCUAAUACCUCAUAAGUCUUUACGGAGAAAGCUUUAUGCGCCAAUGGAUGAGCCUGCACUUGAUUAGUUUGUUGGUGGGGUAAUGGCCUACCAAGUCUACGAUCUAUAGCUGAUUUGAGAGGAUGAUCAGCAACACUGGGACUGAGACACGGCCCAAACUCCUACGGGAGGCAGCAGUGGGGAAUCUUGCACAAUGGGGGAAACCCUGAUGCAGCGAUGCCGCGUGAGUGAAGAAGGCCUUUGGGUUGUAAAGCUCUUUCGUCGGGGAAGAAAAUGACUGUACCCGAAUAAGAAGGUCCGGCUAACUUCGUGCCAGCAGCCGCGGUAAUACGAAGGGACCUAGCGUAGUUCGGAAUUACUGGGCUUAAAGAGCUCGUAGGUGGUUAAAAAAGUUGAUGGUGAAAUCCCAAGGCUCAACCUUGGAACUGCCAUCAAAACUUUUUAGCUAGAGUGUGAUAGAGGUAAGUGGAAUUUCUAGUGUAGAGGUGAAAUUCGUAGAUAUUAGAAAGAACACCAAAUGCGAAGGCAACUUACUGGGUCACUACUGACACUGAGGAGCGAAAGCAUGGGUAGCGAAGAGGAUUAGAUACCCUCGUAGUCCAUGCCGUAAACGAUGUGUGCUAGACGUUGGAAAUAUAUUUUUCAGUGUCGCAGCGAAAGCAUUAAGCACACCGCCUGGGGAGUACGACCGCAAGGUUAAAACUCAAAUGAAUUGACGGGGACCCGCACAAGCAGUGGAGCAUGUGGUUUAAUUCGAAGAUACGCGCAGAACCUUACCAACACUUGACAUGUUCGUCGCGAGCCUAAGAGA